RNAcentral lists this long non-coding RNA (788 nucleotides) under Erythranthe guttata (spotted monkey flower). RNAcentral's name for it is "long non-coding RNA (EGUT_LNC002027)". Lineage: Eukaryota; Viridiplantae; Streptophyta; Magnoliopsida; Lamiales; Phrymaceae. The record is from RNAcentral.
UUGAAGUUGCUUUUCUCGAAACUUGAGCUUUCUGUCAGCAUAUGUCAGUUACGUGCGUGACACAUACAUUAUUGUUUUUCAUAAUGCCAAUUUCAAGAUAGUUGUUCGUAAAGUGUGUAAGUUUCUUCGUUCACUUUGAAAAAUUUCUUGUUUGUGAUCUUAGGGAGGCCCGUUCAUGGACUUUUUUGCAAAAGAUAUCUGAAGGCUGAAAAAUUAUACGGGAGAACUUUGUUUGGGUUCGAAGCUAAAGAAAUACUCUCCAAGGUAAAUUUCUGGUUGCUGAUUUUUUGCAUUUUAUACAAAUUUCCAUGAUUUAUAGAAGCAUCUCUGUUUCGAUCUUUGGGGCUUGAGGAGGUGUUGGGUGAAUUUAGCUGAGGAAUUAAAUGUUUGUCGAUGAUUGUACGAAUUAAACAAUGCACGAUCAUAGAAUUGCUAGCAAACUCUGUGUAUAUUGGUUACUGUGUUGGUUAUUCUUUAUUUCUUUCCAGUCGAUAAUGUUGUGUAAGAAAUACGUGAAGAUAUCAUAAUUUGUUUCUGUGUAUAAUAAUAUUCUCUAGACAUCAAAUGCGAUUUGUUGGUUAACUGAAGAAUAGAGACUGAUCUUUGGUCGUCACUGAUCUUCUUAAAUUCCGACAGUUGACAUUACUUCACACUUGUCGUUUUCAACUUUUUCUCCAAGCUUUGUGUCUUUGUUCUAACACAAAUUUUAUAUGCUUGCCAAGGGGGAGCAAAAUGGGUACCCUGAUGAUGCAUCAAGAUUCCCGGGACUCUUAAAGGAUUCAUGAANN